This 139-nucleotide small RNA is filed under the name Thiohalobacter thiocyanaticus. Its description in RNAcentral is "RtT sRNA". It matches the Rfam family "RtT RNA". Rfam says of the family: This family represents a bacterial cis-regulatory element known as RtT RNA. The exact function of RtT is unknown although it is thought that it may be involved in changing the cellular response in relation to amino acid starvation. Lineage: Bacteria; Pseudomonadati; Pseudomonadota; Gammaproteobacteria; Thiohalobacterales; Thiohalobacteraceae. The record is from RNAcentral.
UUUAUUGGUUGGAGGUCGAGGGGUGAGAAGCUAGUCAGGUUCGACACCCGAGCGGUAGCGAGGGUGAACGCCCGCAGCGAAGCGAGGACGGCCCGGAGGGCGAGGGCCGCAGGCCCGAGUAAUCCUAGUCCCCCAGCCA